Molecule: non-coding RNA, 96 nt
Filed under: unclassified sequences
Description: skipping-rope RNA
Rfam family: skipping-rope RNA
About the family: Firmicutes, Fusobacteria, AlphaProteobacteria, Spirochaetes. Downstream gene
Source: Rfam by way of RNAcentral
GGCAUUUGAGGUGGUCAAUUUCGUGGCAGCCACACGCCGAUGGUUUGACAGGGGAGACCCAAGAGAUGCAGGAGAAUGCCACGCCUGCCAGAUGCC